RNAcentral lists this ribosomal RNA (466 nucleotides) under Vreelandella stevensii. RNAcentral describes it as "partial 16S ribosomal RNA". It matches the Rfam family "Bacterial small subunit ribosomal RNA", at positions 338 to 795 of the family's 1533-position model. Lineage: Bacteria; Pseudomonadati; Pseudomonadota; Gammaproteobacteria; Oceanospirillales; Halomonadaceae. The record is from RNAcentral.
CCUACGGGGGGCUGCAGUGGGGAAUAUUGGACAAUGGGCGAAAGCCUGAUCCAGCCAUGCCGCGUGUGUGAAGAAGGCCUUCGGGUUGUAAAGCACUUUCAGUGGGGAAGAAAGCCUUGGGGCUAAUACCCUCGAGGAAGGACAUCACCCACAGAAGAAGCACCGGCUAACUCCGUGCCAGCAGCCGCGGUAAUACGGAGGGUGCGAGCGUUAAUCGGAAUUACUGGGCGUAAAGCGCGCGUAGGCGGUCUGAUAAGCCGGUUGUGAAAGCCCCGGGCUCAACCUGGGAACGGCAUCCGGAACUGUCAGGCUAGAGUGCAGGAGAGGAAGGUAGGAUUCCCGGUGUAGCGGUGAAAUGCGUAGAGAUCGGGAGGAAUACCAGUGGCGAAGGCGGCCUUCUGGACUGACACUGACGCUGAGGUGCGAAAGCGUGGGUAGCAAACAGGAUUAGAUACCCCCAGUAGUC